This 422-nucleotide ribosomal RNA is filed under the name uncultured Chitinophagaceae bacterium. RNAcentral describes it as "bacterial SSU rRNA". It matches the Rfam family "Bacterial small subunit ribosomal RNA", at positions 355 to 774 of the family's 1533-position model. Lineage: Bacteria; Pseudomonadati; Bacteroidota; Chitinophagia; Chitinophagales; Chitinophagaceae. The record is from RNAcentral.
UAAGGAAUAUUGGUCAAUGGACGCAAGUCUGAACCAGCCAUGCCGCGUGAAGGAUGAAGGUCCUCUGGAUUGUAAACUUCUUUUAUAGGGGGCGAAACACUUCUUUUCUAAGGAGCUUGACAGUACCCUAUGAAUAAGCACCGGCUAACUCCGUGCCAGCAGCCGCGGUAAUACGGAGGGUGCAAGCGUUAUCCGGAUUUACUGGGUUUAAAGGGUGCGUAGGCGGAUUUGUAAGUCCGAGGUGAAAUCUCCGAGCUUAACUCGGAAACUGCCUUGGAUACUAUAAGUCUUGAAUGACGUUGAGGUUAGCGGAAUAUGUCAUGUAGCGGUGAAAUGCUUAGAUAUGACAUAGAACAUCUAUUGCGAAGGCAGCUAACUAAGCGUAUAUUGACGCUGAUGCACGAAAGCGUGGGGAUCAAACA